Sphaerodactylus townsendi is the source of this 836-nucleotide long non-coding RNA. RefSeq lists it as uncharacterized. The transcript is spliced from 2 exons. The record is from RefSeq and is a predicted model, not a curated record. Lineage: Eukaryota; Metazoa; Chordata; Lepidosauria; Squamata; Sphaerodactylidae.
CACCCACCUCACAGGGUGUUUGUUGUGAGGGGGGAAGGGCAAGGAGAUUGUAAGCCCCUUUGAGUCUCCUGCAGGAGAGAAAGGGGGGAUAUAAAUCCAAACUCUUCUUCUUCUUAACAGGCAUGCAUGACGCUGACAGGGAAAAGGCUGGAGAUAUUAGGUAUGUGCAGAAAAGAAGUGGUGUAGCUGGGGGGGGGGAGGGUGCAUGGAGCCCCGGGCACCACUUUCGAUGAUCUUGUGGGAGGGCACACUGCACGCCUCUCCUCAACUGUACCUCUUCUCCAAACUCCCCGUGGAGCAGGGUAGCUGAGGUGGGCGGCGCCCUAGACGCUGGUCCCUGCAGAAAGGCAUAUGGUUCGCCACCACUGUGGUAGAGUGACCAACUUGUGGAAACAGUUAACAAGAACAUAGCAAGUAUAGAAAUGCUGUGCUGGAAUUUCUUAAGUGGAGGUUUUUAAAAAAGCAGGGCAGGCUGGCUGCUGAACUGAAACUUCUGUGAUUCAUAGAACAAGUCUAGACCUACCACAUCAAGCCAGCUUGAUGGUAGGUUUGCACAUCAAGCCAGGUAGGUUUGCACAUCAAGCCAGCUUGAUGGUAGGUUUGCACAUCAAAAUUUGCUAAUUGAAACCUCAAGCAAAGAAACACAGAAACUCACCUCUGCUGUCCUUACCAAGUAGGACGUUAGAGACGGGCAAGAGGGAAACCUCAACCAAACAAUGUUUUGCUCUGCAAUUUAGCUUUUGCCAUAAGAGAAGAAAGGGGGAACGCUUGGUUCUAGCAUUGGGUGAUUUUAAUUUAAUUUGUGGCAGGCUUGUAUAAAAUAAAAAUAAUUUAUA